AGAAGGAAGAUUUUUCCCUGAUGUUGCUUUAAGGAAUGAUUUGGGGUAUUUAACAAGGAAAGGAGCCACGACUUCCCAAAAAAAAUAAGGAAUGAUGGGAUCUGACAUCCCAAAGCACAAGGAAGCCAAACCUAUUUUACCAGGGAAUUCUGAUUGAGUCAGAAUCCAGUGCAGGAGGAUGGUGCCAUCUAAAGGAACUAGAGCACAUGGAGAGCAGCAUCCAUGGAUUCAUUCCUUCUGCUUCCCAAGGGAGUUUCAGAUGGGUGUGGGACCGUCUCAUACUUAGGGAUAAUGACGGCCCUCAUUUACAUGGAAUUUGCUUAUUCCUGUCAAAGCUGGCAUCCAGAGAUAUUUCCCACCUGGCUCCUUUUUUCCACUGUGAAAAAUCCAAAGGAAUGUUGGAUGUCUGGGAUCCCCAGUCCAAGGAAAACAGGGCCAUCACCCAAAGCCAAACUGUGUGAUCCCACAGGAUUUAGAAUCACAUUUGGAAAUGCCAUAUCCAAAGUAGACAAGCUCUAUCCUGCCCCAGGACCUUCACUUGAGCAUUUGGAAUAAUCACUGGGAACCAGAAUCGUGAACUCCAGCACUGAAUUCCAAAAAAUUCUCUCGGCAUACGCAGCCAACAAACCCAAACCAAUCCCAGCAUUCUGAUUCCACCUUUUUUUUUUUUUUUUUUGGACUGGUUGCAUGCUAUGAAAGAGACAGUCAGGAUUUAUGGAGUUGCCACAAAAUUCUGUCAAGGUGGGACUUCCCACCAAAUUCCAGGUGCAGGAAUUCCUUUGGGCACUGAAUGAAUUUUCCCCAGCUUUUCCCUUUUCCAGCUUCUCUUCCCAGGUUGCUGAAUUCCAAAGGAAUCAGGCCACCUGGGAUGAGGACAUCACGUCCCUGUCAUUAAUCACCGCAGUUACCUUUCCACCCAGAGUGUUCCCUUUGUCAGAGCCUUGCCUGGAAAUCCUGGAAAAACAAAGGGACACCAUCCCGCAGGGCUGAGUCAACACUGCAUUCACCUCCUUAAUCCACAGCUGAGGCUUAGCUAAGGCCAGCUCUAAACCUCCUUAGAAAGCUCCAAAGCGGGAGCCAGCCUUUCCCGCUGCAGAUAAAUGGGAUGAUGACAGAAUCCAUUGAAAAAGUUUUUCUGGGAGUCCCAAAGCUCUGCAUUCCCAUCUCUGGUGGCAUUGGAAAGACAUGCUGGGACAUGUUAUCCCAUGAAGGUUUUCCUGGGAGUCCCAAAACCACGGCAGCGCAUUCCAAUCUCCGGCGGCAGCGGGAAGACAUGCCAGGACAUGUCCCACUAAAGUUUGGCUGUGGAACAACAGGGAUGAAAGACCUGGAAUCCGUCAUUGUCAACCAUCCAAAGCACACAGGAUUCGGAUUGGGAAAACAGGUCCCAACAGGAUAAUCCUAUUUUUGGCGGUUCCUGGAGGAGAGCGAUGUGGAACCAAGAGCUAGAGGGUCUAGGAUCAUCAGGGAUGCAUCCAUCCAUCCAUCCAUCCAUCCAUCCAUCCAUCCAUCCAUCCAUCCAUCCAAGGAACUUGCGCCAGUCUCCUUGGCAAUGAGAUUCCCUGUUUACAGGAUCUGGCACUUCUUAGGUUCCACUGGAUCCUCCAUUAAAUAGCUUGGAUAGGAAGGGAGUUUAAAGCUCAUCUCAUUCCAAACCCCCUUGCCAUGGACGCCUUCCACUAUUCCAGGUUGCUCCAAAUCCCAUCUAAUCUGGCCUUGGACACUUCCAGGGAUGGACCAGCCACAGCUUCUCUGGGAAUUCCAUUCCAAGACAUCCCUAUCCUUGCAGGGAAGAAUUCCUUUCAUAAUUCCAGUCCUGAAGCUUCUAGCUCCAAUCCAAUCCUCCACCAGCCAGGUGCUCUAUUCUCCUGAACGCCGGAGCCUCCACUGCAGCAUUCCCAGCAUUUUUGCCUGGAAGUGUCAUUUGGGGAUCCUCAGCAUAGUCCCACCUACCCAAGCCUAUUUGCAAAGUAAAUUUACUUGGGAUUUCCGAUCCCUUGGAAAGUUUUUCCUCCUCUAUUGAUUUAAAAUUAUUGGAGUUGACAUUAGGAACAGCUCAAACAAUUAAAGGGAGAAGAUAAAUAACUGCAUCCAGGUUCAUUUUCCAAAAUGCAAACACACGGCUCUCCUUACUCCAUGAUCCUGCAAUGAAGUGCUGUGGAAUUGGCCAAUGCAUUUCCAAUGGAUAAAACGGGUUUUUAGCCAAAAAAUCCAGAUUUUCUCUCAUAAAAUCCUGAUUUUCACCAAAAAAAAUCCUGAUUUUUGCUUCUUGGGUCAGCAGCUCAGUUUUUUGAGGGAUACCUUCCUGCUGGAAUUCCAAGAGUUGGAAUUCGAUUGGAAAAGGACACAAUCCAUGCCAUGCUUCCCAUCACCGAAUAUCCUCCAGGGAAUGUGCUCAUUCUCCGGGAUGCAAUUAUAAAAAUUGGCUUUGGGAUAAUCCCAUUAAGAUUAAAAAAAGAGGGAAUAACAGCAGGGUUAUGCUGUCAAGUGGUACCAGAGGGCGUGGGAAGAGUGAUUUUGGGAAUAUCCAAGGCAUAUCCUGAAGGAAGAACAGGGAAAAUUAAUUGUAAGUUGAUCAUGAUGAUGCUAAUUAAUUUCAUGGAGAAACAGGAAAAGAGGAUCAUGGAAAAAUAAUAACUAAUAAUGCCCAUCUUGGAAAAGGCUGGUGGGAAGACUGGGAUUUUGGGAAGCAGGACAUGGAGCCAGGAUCCUCUGGAAGUGGGACAAAGCCAAGGAGAGCUGGUUGAGCGCCACACAUCCCAGUGCUAAAAGUCAGGGGCACUUGAAAUUAAUUGGGGUGUAAGUUACAGAUGAAUCCCAUCCUCAGGAACUGCGGGCCAGGCGCACAAAGGUCCUCAGGUUCUUAGGGAUAAUCCCAUCAAACCUCAUCCUGCAGCUCUUUGAAGGCCCCUCUGGCGCUCAGCGACCCAAGAGGAGAGCAGCAUCUCCCAGCAGGUUGAACGUUCCAAAGGGAACUCCGGCCUUAUUCCAUUCCUCCAUUGGCUCCCCAAGCCGGUUCCAAAACCAGAGGAACUCAGUGGAAUCCGAUGGAUGCCACCACAUUCCCCAUAAUUCACCACCCAGAAUCCCAGUCCCCCGGUGGAAACCUUGCCCAGGGGACUGAGAAGCAGAGUGGGAAAACUGCAGGAAAAUUAUUGUUAUUGCUGUUGUUGUUGUUACAGACAGAAAAUAUAAUUAAUAAUAUUUAAUAAUUAUAAUGUAAAUAUUAUUGUUAAUAAAAACUAUUAUUAUCAUCA
Vidua chalybeata is the source of this 3257-nucleotide long non-coding RNA. RefSeq lists it as uncharacterized. The record is from RefSeq and is a predicted model, not a curated record. NCBI's taxonomy places the organism in Eukaryota, Metazoa, Chordata, Aves, Passeriformes, Viduidae. The transcript has 2 exons.